This 166-nucleotide unclassified non-coding RNA is filed under the name Phytophthora citrophthora. Its description in RNAcentral is "partial ITS1". The stretch from base 114 to 166 matches the Rfam family "5.8S ribosomal RNA", at positions 1 to 53 of the family's 154-position model. Lineage: Eukaryota; Oomycota; Peronosporomycetes; Peronosporales; Peronosporaceae. The record is from RNAcentral.
UAUCAUGGCGAAUGUUUGGACUUCGGUCUGGGCUAGUAGCUUUUUUGUUUUAAACCAUUUAACAAUACUGAUUAUACUGUGGGGACGAAAGUCUCUGCUUUUAACUAGAUAGCAACUUUCAGCAGUGGAUGUCUAGGCUCGCACAUCGAUGAAGAACGCUGCGAAC